RNAcentral lists this ribosomal RNA (253 nucleotides) under uncultured bacterium. Its description in RNAcentral is "partial 16S ribosomal RNA". It matches the Rfam family "Bacterial small subunit ribosomal RNA", at positions 524 to 776 of the family's 1533-position model. The record is from RNAcentral.
UACGGAGGGUGCAAGCGUUAUCCGGAUUCACUGGGUUUAAAGGGUGCGUAGGUGGGCUAGUAAGUCCGUGGUGAAAUCUCUGAGCUUAACUCGGAAACUGCCGUGGAUACUAUUAGUCUUGAAUCUCGUGGAGGUAAGCGGAAUAUGUCAUGUAGCGGUGAAAUGCUUAGAUAUGACAUAGAACACCGAUAGCGAAGGCAGCUUGCUACACGGGUAUUGACACUGAGGCACGAAAGCGUGGGGAUCAAACAGG